Molecule: long non-coding RNA, 1239 nt
Organism: Eupeodes corollae
Lineage: Eukaryota; Metazoa; Arthropoda; Insecta; Diptera; Syrphidae
Exons: 3
Source: RefSeq, a predicted model, not a curated record
UACCCAAAAGUUGUUGACUCGUUGGAUGUUGUUUAUUUUGUUAUGUAGCUGUCACUUGCCUCAUUGUUGCUCUCCAUGGAAACUCUCCAUAACUCAGUGGAAAGAAAUUCCAUGGAAAAGCAAUGGGUGCGUUCCGGAAGAGAUCUGGGUUUGGUGUAUUGUCGUUUAAGUUGGUUGAAUUGUUAAGUUGCAUGUGAAUGAAACUUUGUUUUAUGUCCGUGUUUAGUUUUCAGUAUUGACGGUUGAUGCAUGUCAUUGCAGUGGUUAGGUGGUUCGUAUUCAUACGUUUUGUGGUUACUUGGUUAUUAUGUGUAUGGUUUUUUUUUAAAUGUUCUGGUUUCAUGUGGUUCUGUGUUACAGGUCUCUCCGAUUUCGACCGUGGAACACACCCUUAGUCUUGGGACACUGAUACCCCUAUUCUGUUGGAAGUGUUCUAAUACCUAAGUGGUUUCCCACUAUUUGGGUGUGAUGAUGUUGGUUGGGGGUAUAUGUAUGGAUAGGUGGAUCGGAUGAUGUGUUCCUGUUAGAGAUAGAAUACAUCAUCGGAAUAUUUUUUUUGCCGGUGUGGGUGGGAUGAUAAUUUCAGCACUCCCUCAUUUGGCCAUCUACCACACAGUGGAUUAAAAAAAAGAGUGAUAGUGGUAAAAUUAAAUUCAAAUAUCCGAAAAAAGAAACAGUUGGACCAGCAAAGAAAGAAAAGAUAUUUAAGAAAGUGAAAUAAGUGGAAUGUUAAUUGGUGCCAACAAUUUUGGAAAAACAAAAGAACCCAGCAAACAACAAGUAAAGUUUGAUUCCCGGCGGCCCGAAUUAAAUUAUGGAGAGCGGGGCCGCCGCCCAAAAAAAAAAAAAAAAACAAAAUUUUUGAAAUUCAAUAAAAUUCAAAAACAGAAAAAAUUUGAAAUUAAAUAAAAUUCAAAAAAAAAAUUUAGAAUACAAAGUUGAAAUUAAAUAAAAUUUAAAAACUGAAAAAAAACGAAUGAAGGAGAAUUGGAAAUUAAAGGAAAUUUAAAUCAAAAAAACUUGAAAGAAAAGGAAAUUUAUACGGGAACCAAAUUGAGAAGAAAACAAAACAAUCAAUUUAUAAAUUUGGCCCACAACAUAGACGUACAUCUCCAUAUCAUAUAUUUCAAAGUACCUAACCGGUGGAUCUUUUUGUGUUUGUGAUUGUCCUAUAUUUAAGUUUUUUUUGAAAUUCAACAAAUUAAAUCGUUAAUUAAUUCAUCGGCGUGGAUGUUAUUU